RNAcentral lists this ribosomal RNA (253 nucleotides) under uncultured bacterium. RNAcentral's name for it is "partial 16S ribosomal RNA". It matches the Rfam family "Bacterial small subunit ribosomal RNA", at positions 524 to 776 of the family's 1533-position model. The record is from RNAcentral.
UACGUAGGGGGCAAGCGUUGUCCGGAUUUAUUGGGCGUAAAGAGCGUGUAGGCGGCCAGGCAGGUCCGGUGUGAAAACUCGAGGCUCAACCUCGAGACGUCGAUGGAAACCAUCUGGCUAGAGUCCGGAAGAGGAGAGUGGAAUUCCUGGUGUAGCGGUGAAAUGCGCAGAUAUCAGGAAGAACACCCGUGGCGAAGGCGGCUCUCUGGGACGGUACUGACGCUGAGAAGCGAAAGCGUGGGGAGCGAACAGG